CAGCUGACGUUACAGACACGUCACACGCUCACCGAACUCUAGCUGCCGCCAUAUUGAGUACCUUCUUUGGUGCAGCGGUCGUCGAAAAUGCCGUCCAUAUGUUGUGCAGUUGGGUGUGAUAAUAAGAAAGGUGCAAAAAGCUAAAACCCACUAAGCCCAGACUGCGUGCCAACAAUAUUUCCUCAUCUAAGUUCUCCAAACAAGCGAAAGAGGAUUUAUCAAAUGGCCAGGUUUGAACACACUCAGGCUCUAAAAAGAAAAAGAGCAGUGAUUGAUGCUGACAGAGGAGAGACGGGAAAAGUAGAAGACAGACAGGAAGCGAAUGGCAAUGACCAGCAGGAUGGAGGAGAAGACAGACAGGAGGUGGAUGAUGAUGACCAGCAGGAUGGAGGAGAAGACAGACAGGAGGUAGAUGGCAAUGACCAGCAGGAUGGAGAAGACAGACUGGAGGUUGGAUUGGCGAUGCAUGGUACUUGUACCAAUGCUUCUUGCCAAGUCACAAUUAAAAGACUCAAUGAAGAAUGUAUGAGAUUAAGGACUGAAAUCUGUAAACUCAAGGGUCAAGUAGAUUCAUUAACA
Long non-coding RNA from Girardinichthys multiradiatus, 579 nucleotides. RefSeq lists it as uncharacterized. The record is from RefSeq and is a predicted model, not a curated record. The transcript has 2 exons. NCBI's taxonomy places the organism in Eukaryota, Metazoa, Chordata, Actinopteri, Cyprinodontiformes, Goodeidae.